This 461-nucleotide long non-coding RNA is filed under the name Mus spicilegus (steppe mouse). Its description in RNAcentral is "lncRNA (ENSMSIG00000015017.1)". Lineage: Eukaryota; Metazoa; Chordata; Mammalia; Rodentia; Muridae. The record is from RNAcentral.
CGUUGACAAGGCUGACACCACCAAUCAGCUUCGGCUCAGCAAGGUCACUGUUCAGACUUGACUCGUGAUUGGCUGCUGCGCUUCAGCGUGUUAUUACUGUCUGAUUUGAUCGGAGGCAGGGGGUGGUCUCCAAUCAAACAGAGAAAAGGUCCUGGAGAAGAUCUAUGAGCUAGAAGACAGCUGGGACAGCAAAUUCUUGACUCGCUUAUCAUCAUGUUCCCUUUCCAUGGUCAGCCCAGACUCUGGGCUCCAUCACAACACACUAGUCUGUUCAGCAUGGAGUACCUUUUUUGCCUCUUCUAGUCCAGCCAUCCAGGCAAAUCAAUCAAUACACUGUAAGUGACAUCUGAGAUGGAAACCUAUUUCUUUACCCCAGACUAGAUUAUCUCAAACAAGCUUUGUAAUAUUAAAACUCUUCUGUGUUUCGUGUGCAAGAAUCUCAAUGAAUCCUUCCAUCUCUG